GGGCAGUGCGGGUGCUAAUACAUGCAAGUCGAGCGGACGGAUGGGAGCUUGCUCCCUGAAGUCAGCGGCGGACGGGUGAGUAACACGUGGGCAACCUGCCUGUAAGACUGGGAUAACUCCGGGAAACCGGGGCUAAUACCGGAUAACUCUUUUCCUCACAUGAGGAAAAGCUGAAAGAUGGUUUCGGCUAUCACUUACAGAUGGGCCCGCGGCGCAUUAGCUAGUUGGUGAGGUAACGGCUCACCAAGGCCACGAUGCGUAGCCGACCUGAGAGGGUGAUCGGCCACACUGGGACUGAGACACGGCCCAGACUCCUACGGGAGGCAGCAGUAGGGAAUCUUCCGCAAUGGACGAAAGUCUGACGGAGCAACGCCGCGUGAGUGAUGAAGGUUUUCGGAUCGUAAAACUCUGUUGUCAGGGAAGAACAAGUACCGGAGUAACUGCCGGUACCUUGACGGUACCUGACCAGAAAGCCACGGCUAACUACGUGCCAGCAGCCGCGGUAAU
Molecule: ribosomal RNA, 507 nt
Filed under: Cytobacillus firmus
Lineage: Bacteria; Bacillati; Bacillota; Bacilli; Caryophanales; Bacillaceae
Description: bacterial SSU rRNA
Rfam family: Bacterial small subunit ribosomal RNA
Source: RNAcentral